This 422-nucleotide ribosomal RNA is filed under the name uncultured bacterium. Its description in RNAcentral is "bacterial SSU rRNA". It matches the Rfam family "Bacterial small subunit ribosomal RNA", at positions 355 to 774 of the family's 1533-position model. The record is from RNAcentral.
UGAGGAAUAUUGGGCAAUGCCCGCAAGGGUGACCCAGCAACGCCGCGUGGAGGAUGAAUGUUGUAAGAUUGUAAACUCCUGUUAGAGGGGAAGAAUAGUACCGGUUGGACCGGUAUAUGACUGUACCCUCAGAGAAAGCCCCGGCUAACUACGUGCCAGCAGCCGCGGUAAUACGUAGGGGGCAAGCGUUGUCCGGAUUUACUGGGUGUAAAGGGCGCGCAGGCGGGAUAAAAAGUCAGUGGUGAAAUCCUACAGCUUAACUGUAGAGCUGCCUUUGAUACUUUUAUUCUUGAGUUCGGGAGAGAGAGACGGAAUUCCAGGUGUAGUGGUGAAAUACGUAGAUAUCUGGAAGAACACCAGUUGCGAAGGCGGUCUCUUGGUCCGACACUGACGCUGAGGCGCGAAAGCGUGGGGAGCAAACA